This is a non-coding RNA of Peromyscus maniculatus bairdii (prairie deer mouse), 2089 nucleotides long. The record is from RefSeq and is a predicted model, not a curated record. Lineage: Eukaryota; Metazoa; Chordata; Mammalia; Rodentia; Cricetidae.
AGGGGUCAGCUCUCCAACACCUACACCAUCAGAGCCAGCUCUGUAUUGCCCUGGCAAGGUGCAGGGGCCACUCUCCUGAGCGCUGUAGCUGGUGAAGGGGCCAGGACAGCUCUCCUACCCCUCACAGGUGGUCAGAGGUGGGGAUGGGGGGCAUCUCUUCAACUGCCCACCCCACAAUAUGGCAGAGGAGGAGCAGAGCCAGAUCUCCCAUACUCACGUUCUCCGACUGGUUCACCUGCAUCCCUGUCAAUAGGAUCAGAUCUACUGUGCUGCCCAGGUUAGGUGCAGGGCCCACCUUCCUGAGUGCUGCAGCUGGUAAGGGGGAGGGUCAGCUCCCUCACCCAUCAUAGGUGACAGGCCAGGGUGGGGGAGGGCAUUUCCCUUGCUCCCUCCACCACAUGGCACACAGGAGGCAGGGAGUGGCCAGUGCUCUUAACUGCGGAGCCCUCUGCAGCCCCAUCUCUCACAUUUUUUUUUUUUUGACAGUGAAGGAAAAUUAAAUUCCCUUAGAGACUGAAACCAUUCUCAUAUCGCUCAUACCAAGGUUCCUUUGGUGCCUGGCAAGGACAAGGGCUACAGAAGCUUCCCAGUAACUACUUGUGUCGAUGAAAAAGUAGUGAAUGAAGACACUGGACCUCCUGAACCUCAUCUCUCUCAUUGACACAGAUGGGUUUUAAAUUCUAAGAGAUGAUCUGAAGAGCAGAGCUGAGAAAGAAAGGGACACAGAUCUUACAAAGGAGUAAGGUAUAUCAUCUGAAAAUGAAAAUUAUAAUUCUUCUUGGACUCAUAGGAGCUACAUCUUCAGCCCCGCUUGUCUCACAGCGCCUAUUGUCUGCUAGCAACAGUCAUGAGUUACUCCUGAAUCUGAAUAAUGGUCAACUUUUGCCACUGCAAUUUCAGAGUGCAUUUAACUCCUGGAUUCCUUCCUUCCCUGGGUUUCUGCAGCAGCAGCAGCAGCAGCAGCAGCAGCAGGCUCAGGUCCCAGGACGCCCACAGUUCCCACUCUCAACACUAGAGAGCUUGGCUGGGCUAUUCCCAAAUCAACUACCUUUCUCAGGACAGGUUGGACUUGCCCCAGGAGGCCAGGCUGGCCAGCCAGAACUCUUACAGCUGCAGACACCACCUCAGCCCCAACAGGGUGUAAACCUUAUGUCCUACGUGGUUCCCUUUAAAGUGCCUCAAGAUCAAACACAGAUGCUUGGAUACUACCCAGUUUACAUGCUUCUGCCCUGGGAGCAACCUCAACAAGCGGUCACAGCAUCUCCCCAGCAAACAGGGCCGCAGCUAUUUGAGGAACAGAUACCAUUCUAUAAUCAAUUUGGAUACAUACCACAACAAGCAGAACCUGAUGUGCAAGGAGGACAGCAGCAUUUAGCUUUUGAGUCCUUUGUAGGCACAGCUCCUGAAACUCCUGGAAUGCCAACAGAAGGAGGGCCUCUGUAUUCACAAAGAGAACCAGUCAACUUUAAGCGUGACAAUGCAGGAGUUUUCAUGCCUUCCACUUCACCAAAACCGAGCACCGACCAUGUUUUCACUUCUGCCCUAGACCCAACUAUUGCUCCAAUUCUUCCAGAACAGAAGGCCAAGACUGAUCACCUAAGAGAACCAUAAGACAUUGUCUUAAUCACUUGGAAGUUUUGAUUUUGAUAGUUGAUGAGUCAGCAGAGUAAUAACUGAUCCCAGGGAGUGGCUUUCCAGCCAUGGACUUCUCCAACCAUUGCACUGUGAGGGUAUAAAAGAGACACAACAUUGGAGGGCCAGUCACCAUCACUUCCCAUAGCAGCACCAGAGAGAAGGAACUGAGCAGAGAGUUUAAGGAUAUUCUGAACAAGAUGAAAGCCCUCCUCCUGCUCUCUGUCAUCCUGGCAGUAGCAUCUUGUCUCCCAGUGCCCCAGGAACAGGAACGAGAAAAACGAAGUGCCAGUGACAGCGAUGAAUUCUUUCCACGGAUUAUUAUUCCCCCAUUCUGGUAUCCAUUCGACAGAUACCCACCAUUCCCAAAUCAAAACUAUCCAUGGCAAUUUUUUCCUGUUCCCAUUCCCUACUCUCCCACUGCAACCCCACCUCUUAAUGGAAAGUAAAAGGGAAA